UCCACUUCACCUCUAAACUCUACUUCACUUCAGCUCCACUUCACCUAAAAAUGUGUUUGGGAAUCAAAUCAGCUCCAGAACGUUUUCCUUGUUGCUGCUAUUUUCUUUCCUUCCAUGAUGGAUGGAUCUCAUACGAGAUUGCUUCACUUGAUGGUACGAUUAACACAAGUACUGUAUUUUCGAACUGAGCGAUCAACGUGGCUGAUUAGAACUCUUCUUUGCAAAAAAAAAGAUUAAUAGAACUCUGAUCGAUUAUAGGUGAUGGGAACGAGGAAUAGGAGAAGAACGCCUGCUGCCUUCUGCCUGUCUGGUUCCAGGCGCAAUAGAUGGAGAAAAGCAAUCAGAGAGAAAGGGAAUUGCUUCAAAUAAAUACAGCUCUGAUCGAUCGUAGGUGAUGGGAAAAAAGAGCAGAGGAAUACGAGAAGAACGCCUGCACCUUCUGGUUCCAGGCGCAGUCGACGGAGAAGAGCAAUCAGAGAGAAAGGGUCUUGCUUCAGAGGCAGCAAGGACCUGCAGGGACAGUACAGUCGACGGGAAGUUAGGGACUAGCAUAAGUGACGGGGAACGGUGGGCGAGGUGCUAGUGGAUGGGGUGAUGGCUCGGCGGCGCUGCAGUCCGGAGAAGCGGCGGCGACUACCCGUGGCGGCAGCGAAUCGAGGCGGGCUCGCGGGGGACCGUGGGCGGGCUCGCGGGAUACCAAGGGCGCGCUCGCCGGAGAUGGAGCGUGGCCGGCUCUGCUAGGGCUGUAGAUGAGCCGCCAUGGCUUUGUCCGUCUCUGGUCCGCCUGAGACCUAUCAAUAGGAAGGGAGACGAGGAGUCAGGGAAGUGGGUUCAUGGGAUAGAGAGCGUAACGGUUCGGUUCACUAAUGGCAUUGGUGGGUAAAUUACUCCAAGUUUAAGUGAAGUGGAGCAGGUGAAGCACCUCUUUCUUAACUCCAGUAAAAUGAACUAGAGAGUUAUACUGCUCCACUUCACCUAACACAUGGAGUUUAGAGUGUUUGGGGCAACUUCACCUGCUUCACUGGUGAAGCCGUGAAGUGGAGCUGUACCAAACAUGCCCAAAGUUGUCGUGGAUGCCACGUUUCUGAAUGGAGCGCACUGGUUCGGCUCCACCAGGGAGCCCAUCCUUGGUGCUAGCCUCACAGCCAGCGUCUACGCCACCAACUUGGCAAAGAUGUGGAUCAAACUAAUGGGCCGAUAGGCUUUAGCAUCAAGCCAUCCAAGCGCUUGGGGAGCAAGAUCAAUAGUGCCUGGUUGAGCCCCUGGAACCGUCGGCCAUUGAGGUCUGAGAGUUGCCCAAAGGCUUCCAUGACAUCAUCCUUCACAAUCCCCCAGCAACACUGGAGGAAUUCCGUGAAACUGUCCGGGUCCAGCUCCUUGCCAUGGGGCAGACAACGCACCACCUCCCACACCCCAUCCUCUGAAAGGGGGCCUUGAGGUCAGCAAGGUCCGCAGAGCGAGACCCCAGGAAGUCCAGGUCCAGGGAGAAGUCCCUCUGAUCAACCGUCCCCAGAUGGAGUCAGAUUCUCUUGUUAGCUCCGCGUUAAGAAGCUUAAACUUAUCUGUAAUAAUAGAAUAAUAAUGCGGAUGGUUCUAACUAGUCACUAUCAAUGUAACCCUUGUAUUUGAUGUAAACCAGUGGCUAUUCCUAUCUGAGCUUUUGUUUGCUAAGUAUGAUUGUUGUGCUGUCCUAAUGAACAUCUGAUUUCAAUAAUUUUCCUAGGGACAUCUCCAAGCGAGCACUCCUGUCAACUUUUGCUGCUCCAGGGAACAUUGUCUUCCAGAUUCUGCCUUUAGGCAUCUGUAGUGUACAUGAGGAUAUUUUUCAUGCUUCAGUUGAUGACAUAGAGAGAAGGUUACAAGAGAUCACAGUGACUGGCGUGUCCAGAAAAGAUGACAAGGAGUCCACUUUGAUGUUAUCAGGAAAAGACAUAGCAGUUUGGAUUAUGGUGUCCGCUGCUUCAGUAGCUGAGUAUCAGCAUGACCUUCGAGCAAAAGAACACAAUGCUCGAUGGAGGCUAGCUUUGCUGGCAAACAAGAAAGUUAUUAUGGGAAACAUUUUUGAUCCAAGGUAUCUUUACUUGUCCACGUACAGUUAUAUCAUGCUAUGUGUUGCUUAUUGCACUCAGUCUUGUCAAUGGGUUUGAGUAACUACCAGCUUGUGUUUGAACACUUCCUUCAACUGCACUGUUAUUGAUAUUUCACUAAAAUUCUUUCAUUCAGUUAUUUAAGGCCUUUAAAUAAUUUAGCCAAGCUCACUGAACUACUGGAUAUUUCUGGCUUUCUGCAUAGAUUAUGCAAUUUUGAAAUGGAUUUUCUUGGGUUGGGGUCAGUUAUGGUGAAACAGGGAGAGUAGUUUCUCUAAUAUGGAGACACAAUUGCGGACUUCCUAGCAGCCAGAACUGUAUGGUUGUUGAUGGUAUGCUGGAAUUGGGCUUAUUCCAGUUUGCUGAACCCUGGACUGUCCCACAGCCGCAAACCUCUUUGAUCUCAAUUUCUCGUGGUACUAUUCAUAUUCAGUGCUUGUAGUUUAGAUUCCAAACAAUAGCAUUUGACAGACUGAAUUUGAAAUUUUAAAAGUAGUUUUUUUGGAAUAGCUGCAAGUUUUGCGUGAUGGGUUAGUGUCAACGAUUCAUCAAUGACAGUGAGCUUUGGAGCAUAUCUGGAUGGCUGGGAAUACACAGGACCGAAUCAGAGGGAAGCUCCAACUUUUGAAUCAUCAAUGACACUUUGCUGUUUUCUGUUUUUGCUCGUUUGGGUUUUGUAGGUCACUAGGUUGUUCCCUUCUGCUUUGGUUUUUUGGGUUUUGUUGGGUUUUUGUAGUCAAACUUGUGCUUGGCGCCACCUCUGGUGCUUUUGUAGCUCUUGCACCAUUUUGGUGUUUUCUUCUAUAGAAAGAUACACAAGCACUUUCUACGGUGGAUGGGGAGGACAUGUAUCAGGAAUGCUUCCUCCAAGGUCUUGCUUCAUCCAUGCGCGCCCCCCGGACACUGGACCUAGCUCUCUCCUUAUAUAGUUGGCUUUGGCCUUUUCCUUUCCUUUCCUUUUCUUUUCUUUGAGCCCUCUUUGGGUCUCAUUUUCUGUUGCCUUUGUACUGCGCUUCUUGCGCUUUCUUCUUAAUAAAAUGACACGCCGCUCGGCAUGUUCGAGAAAAAAGGUCUUGCUUUAACUGUUUAAGGAAGCUUUUCUUCAGUUAACUGGUUUCCUUUAUUGCUGCAUGGAAUACAUUAGGACUUAGCAGUACCCUAUAGAGUGAUUUUAGUCUAUAUCAGUGUGAAUCAACGUCUACCCACUUUAUGUGUCUCUUUGUCCUGGAGCACUUUCUUUUCAAGCUGUCGCCAUCAGUCUGCUUUCCAGUUUCCACACAGAUCUAGUCAAUUAACUAAGUGAUUGGCAAUAAAUUACAAGAGUAGAAGUUAAGAAGUUAAAUUACAACCUUAUCUGUCCUGUUAACUUAAUUUUGCAGCAGAGUUUUCUAAAAAAAAUUGGCACCAGACUGGAUGUCACUUAUGUUCCUUUUGGUCAUUUAGCCGGAUAGUGUUAACAGUUCUGUUCAUAUGAGGCCCAGAAUGCCCUGUCAUCGCUCGGUGCUCCGACACCGGGGGCGUGCGGCCACGUCUCCCUUUUUGGUUUGGUAGGGGCGUCUGGGGCGGAGACCCGGUGAUCGCCGGCACGGCCGAUGAAGCCCUACGGGGCCGGUGAGACCAAGUGCUAAGGGUGCGCGCUGAUACCAGAGCAAGCGCACACACGUUUUUUACCCAGGUUCGGGCCACCCGGAGGUGUAAAACCCUACGUCCUGCCUGUCUGAACUGAUAUUGACCGCGGAUCAAGCGUUUACAAGUUUGCCGGGCAGUUCCCGGGCUUCCUCUCAAUGUCUAAGCGCUCCCUACUGCUCUCUGCUGGCUGUCUACUGGAACCAACUGACUAACCUGCCAACCGUCUAACUUCCUAACCGUCUAACCCCCUUGACCGUUGGCAAGGGUCCUCCUUUUAUACACAAGGGGAUGCCAUAUGUGCCAUGGUGCAUGGGCUACAAGUGUCCAACGGGGAGGCAUGCAACUCUCCCCGGUGAGCUGGUGGCGUGCAUGGGUGCCACCUCCGCUGCUAGGGGCCUAAGACCCUAGGGUAGGAUUAGACAACCACUGUUCCUUGGAUCGGACGGGUAACUACCCGUCGGUCGGCUCGUUUACUGAGCCGCGCGCCUUACUCCUUGCCUUGGUGGGACUGCGCGUCCCGCGCUCGCCACGCUUCCGCGCGGCGCUGUCCACCGGGCCCCACGCGCGAGGCGGGGGCUCACACCCGGGAACCUCCACUCCCCGCAAGUCGACCCCGGGAAGCACCCGGGCCCAGCGCACCCGGGAACCUCCUCCCUUGGCACUUGGCACCCAAAUAUGCAGUUUCUAAAAUCAGGACUAACUUGGCACUUGGCACCCUAGCAAUAAUAAUUAAACCGCGCUUAAUUAGAAUGUGGGUGAAACAAAGCUGUAAAAGGAAAAGAAAUGGGAAGUUUUAAUUGACUCUAGGCCUGUCAUAGAACUCUUAUGUAUUCAGGGUUGCUCGUGUGCCCUCUUGGCGUAAAUUGCAUAAAAAUGCAUUAACGAAUGCUACUAAGAUACUAGCAAAAUUCAUAUACCUUCCGGUGGACAUGAUUGUCAUGCCUAUUAAAUCAUUGUCACCCAUUUUGAUCUAUGAACUUCACACAUGAUUUGAUCUUUUGUUUUUCAAAAUUUUGAAUUUUACAUUUCAAGAUUUACGUUUGUGUUGUUCUUAAGUACUCAUACAUCUAUUGUUGCUGCAUUAAUUAGCAACAUUUGUAUAGGGGAUAAAAUCAGGAAAGUAGGGAUAGGGGGUAAGUUAUCCAUCUGCCUACGUAUAUGAGGGCUUGUUUUUUUGUUCUUUGACUGAAGAUGGAAGGGCAUGUUGCCAUCUAUAAGCAGGCAAUCAAUCAAUGAAGAGGUUAGUUUGUACUCCUAUGGAUCGGAGGGAGUAUGUGUUAGUAUCCUUUUCACUCGAGCCCGUUCUCAUUGUCCUGUAAUAAACGAGCAUACAUUAGAUCUAUUAACAAUGAAUAGAGAUCAAAUCAGUUGCAUUUAGUUCAUAACUUGCCCUGUCACUAAAAAACAGCCAGGGCUAGUUUUAACUAUUUUUGUUGGUAUUUGAAGUCCCGCGCUGGCUCCAUGCUACACCCCCCUACUUAAUAAGAGCUUUCAUCUCCUGCUCAAGAGCUCAGUGCCAUACAUUUCUUACUCUUUUUGCUGAGGCCCCAAAAGCAUUGUCUGAGUGGUCACAUUUUGCUUUUCAGGGCUACUUCUAUAGAUGUCUCUGGUAACUAUGGAUUCGCUGGAACAUAUGGAGGUUGCUUGUACAUGUGGGAGUUGUCUUCUGGGAGAAAACUUGCCGGCACAGAGUGCUUCAACGGUAAGUGACAUGAGACAUCUCAAAAAGGUUUAUUAGUUGGAAAGCAACGACAAACUUUACUCUGUUUGUACAGACAAGUGAGCCUUGGAGGCUUUGCUGCACUCUUUAUCUUGUGUUGUUUUACUGCUUCAUUGAACUAUUUCUCUGUUUUACUUUUCAAAGAUACUUGUUCUGUAAAUAACAUGAUCAUCUUCCUGACUUGUACAAUCAGGUCAACGAGUCUCCUGUGUUGCUGUUGAUGCCAAAUCAAGAGUAGUGGCAGUAGCUGACGAUGACUGCAAUGUAUUGCUUUACACUGAAAACAUGGUGUAAAGCAGUUGUGGCAAAUCUGCGGGAUGUUCCUAAUUGUGUAAUCUUAUAGCAUUUGCAGCUUACAGUUGUUACUCCAAUCAUCUGCUGUACAUAGCUGAUCAGACCAUCAUUGGAAAUUCUUUUCACCCCUUUUCUUGGAACAAGUCUAUGCCAGAGAGACGGUAUGAAUCAGCUGCAGUCUCCAGCUUUUUUUUAUAGCUUGUACCUAGCACAAAUCAGGUUUGAGGCUGGAAAAAGGCUGAGUUUGUAUUUUGGUAAGAAUUGGUGUCUUUUGGACCAGCAAGGCUGUAGAGACAUUUAUUUCCAAAAGAUAUGCAAUGUUGGUUGUUCUCCUUUUCUGACAGCACCAAACGGAGCAUUAGUUUGUGAUAUAUUUUGUGACAGACUACAAAAAGGUUUGUUUUACCGUAUGGGUGGGUUUAGUCCAGAUUUUUCCCGUUGUUGCACGUGGGUCCAGAUUUUUCGAAAUCUCACAGCAGCACGUUUUCAGGCAAGUCCGACAUUAUUUGUUUUGAAGGGGAAAACAAGUCUCCCCUCUCUCCGUUUCAUAUUAAUUGGCACUGAUUUAGUACAACUUGUAUUCAAUUUGCGCCAAUAUGGAGCUGAAUGAUUACAAUUUUUUGAAGUGUCUGCAAAUUGCUGCGGGACGUUCAAGGCAAAGCUCAAUGGAUUUGGCACUAUUCGACUCGCCAGGGUCAUCAAAUUGAUUGGCAUAUUUAAGCUAGAAUUGGCAUGCAGUAGAAGACCAGAGAGUACCCUGAUUCUAGCGUCUAGCGAUAACAUAAGACACACAUCGUACUUAAAAUAUUUAUGCAGGUGUGCACAAAGAAUUAUGUUCUGAAAAUUUAUUUUGUUUCAUUUACAGGAAUUGCUUCAGUACUCCAACGUUGAACACUUAUGAAUUCAGAACAAACCGAUCCAUUUAGAACAUAAUUUAUCCACAACAAGGGUUGUGCCGCAGAAUCCUUUGAGCAAAAGUAGAAGGGCAUGCUUGGUUUGUGACAAAGUUUGCCCGUAUUCAAACUUUUGGCUGCCUAUGGAAUAAUACCAAUCCACCUCACAAUCCGUUCACAAAUUUUGCCAAUCCAUCUCACAACCGAUUCACGAAACUACAUUUUUUUUGCCACCCUUCUUCGGACUAAUUGUCUCUGAGUGGCCCAAAACUGAUGGUUAAGCGUGUUUGACACUUUUCCUUACAAGAUGGGGCCCACUGUCAGGUCCAUCCCAUUUAUGCAUUUAGCCCCUGCAUAUUUUCACAUUUAUUUUCUCCCCCUUCUUCCUGUUCUCCGGCUGCCCCUGCUCCCCUUCAUCUCCUCCUGCUUUGGCAGCUUCUCCGUGCGCAUGGAGGGCUCCCCGGACAUGAACCGCUACAUGGCGUCGCCCCAGCGGGACCUCAUGCUCGCCUUCCACAUGCUCAGCCUUGCCCUCUACACCGUUCGGCUGCUCCUGUCCCAUCUUGACCACCCCAUGGACUUCUGCACCGCCGCCAGUGCCGCUCCUCUAGAUCCGGCUGUCAUUGCUGCCACACCAUCCUCGUCGGUCCCGGUUUCUCUGGUGUCAUUGUCGCCGGCUUCCGUGGUGCCCUUUUGGCGCCUUCCUUGGCCACGGCGGCUGCCCUCCAUCUAGCGCCGGCCCCCCACGAAGGAGCGGCCUGGCCUGCCGGAGCGGAGACAAAACCCAAGCCGGUGGAUGCGCAGCUCCCCAUGCCGCCCCCUCCGCCACCGACCCCCAUCGGCUCCGCUUGCACCUACGAGUACGUCCUCCUAACCCAACCCCUCCUCUUCCUCCUACUUCUACACACAAAAGUUCUUUCAAUGGAUGAGUUGUAAGCAGCAAGUGGGCGCUAGCGGAGCAGCGUUGCUACUGGAAGGUACGGUAGAUGAAGCGAAGCAGGGGCAGCCGGAGAAGAGAAAGAAGGGGGAGAAAAAAAAUUGAAAAUAUGCAGGGCUAAAUUCAUAAAUGGGAUGGACCUGAUAGCGGGCCCCGCCUGUAAGGAAAAGUGUCAAAUGCGCUUAACUAUCGGUUUUGGGCCAGUCGAGACAAUUAGUCCGAACAAGUGUGGUUUUCCAAAAAAAUUAACGAAAUGUGUGGUUCUGUGAGAAAGCUGCCUCAAGAACGGUGGUUCAUUGAAAUUUACUUGAUAACAAUCGUAAGGUUCAGAGUUUCAACUUUUGCAAUCUGAACGUCUAGAAACCGAAAGGCACUGUGUCACAUCCCGGGGAUUUACCCUAACUCAGAUUUUGCUUGUUGUUCUUUUUUGCAUCAGCAUCGCAUCAUCAUCAUGAGCAUUAAUUUUUGUUGAUGUGUAAUGUGCAGAUACCUAAAAUUACUUUGCUAAAACUCUAUUUUGCAAUUGCUAAAUUAAACUUCAGGUUUAAUUAAACUAAUCCCAUUCUUUUCUUAAUUUUAUUUUAAAAAAUAAUUAAUAAACCUCUGUUUUUGUUUGUUGGCCCUCCCUCCCUCCCUCUCUCCCUCUCUCUCUCUCCCGCCGCCAUCCUUCUUCUCCCCUCCGGAUUUCUUCUUCCUUUAAUGACACACACGCACACACGCACACGCGCGCGCACACACACAGACAGAUAGGAAGUGGUUUUAGUAUGCCCAACCUCCCCAGUGCCCGACAAGGGUUGGACGGUGGAAGAGUUUCCAAAAAUCAUGAAAUUUGUACCACCUCACCAUCACAAUAGAGACGGAUGUGAACCUCCGCUCUAUCUAUACGUGCAACACAGUUCGGGUGGAACACGCGGGCCGUUUUUCUUUCUUUUCUUCCAACCCCUACGCGUCCCGACAACUACGGUCUCCGCAUUUACUUAACCCCUCUCUCUCCCUCCCAACUCGCUCUUUCCCUCUCCCCGCUCGCGUCAACCGCCGAAGUCUCGCCCUGAUUUUCGGCAGUUCACCGGCGGAACCGCUCGGAGUGGUGGCGAUAAGCGAGACUUGGUGGUUGCGAAUCCAUUCCUCCCUAAAAUACUCGGCCGCCAUAGUGCCUCACGGUUCUGGGAGCGCUCAAUGCCCUCCGUCGUGUCCAGCGCCGUCGGCCGCGCGGAGCGCCGCCGUCUCUUCGUGGAUUUAGGGUUCCAAAGCUUGCUACCGGUAUGAAUUUGCUCUUACUCGGUUUGGUGUUUUCGCACGCCCUUGUUCUGUCCUCUCCGAUUUUGACCUGCGCAUCGACAUGCUCUGAUUCUUCUAGGUUUUCCCCCAAAUCGCCGUCAAUGGAUGGUGGUUCUCCGGAUAUAUUCGAUGGCAUACUCCCUCUCGCACCCCUGCCUGCCCACCCCUCACUGUGAAUGCAUGUGAUUUUAGGUUGUGCUUGUUUUUUUGGUUGCUUGUCUGCUUAUGAUUUAAGGGUUUGCAAUGUCACCACAUUGUUGUAUACAGAUGUUUCAUAUAUUUUGUUUGAGUGCUUGAUGUCGUAGAUUGUACCAAGUGUUGCUUGUAUUUAUAAUCAGGCAAAUGUAUAGGAUGGACUAAAUUUCUACUUGCAUGUGAACUUCCUAUGUGUGAAAUGUGAACCUCCUUCUGUAUAUGUUGGAUGCCAUGAAGUUAUGGCAUCUACAAUUUUUUUGUUUUGAUGUUUUACUCCUUGCGUUGAUAUGUGAACUUUCUUAGGUGUUAACUCUAAACUUCCUGUUGCUGAAAUGUGAACUCCCCUACUGUCUAUGUUGUCGUGUGAACUUCAUAUAAGUUUGUUUGUUCAUUUUUAAAGUUGGGUUGCAAUUUUAUUUUCCUGGUGAACUGCUUAAGGAUUAAGUGUGAUCGUCAUGUUGGCUAUGUCGCUUGUGAACUUCACGUGUGUUAGAUGCGUUCCUUAUGCUGUUAAUUUCACAUACUGUAUAUGUUGUAUGAGAUGAAGCUAUGGCAUCUGCAAUGGUUUGUUUUAAUGUUUACCCCCUGUACUGGUAUGUGGACUUUCAUAUGUGUUAGUUGUGAACUUCCUGUUGCUGUAAUGUGAACUUCCUGUUGCCUAUGUUUGUCGCUGAACUUCAUAUUAGUUUGUCCGUUCAUUUUAAAGUUGGGUUGCAAUUUUAUUGUCUUGUGAACUGCUCAAGGAUUAAGUGUGAACCUCCUGUUGUCUAUGUUUUGCUUGUGAACUUCACAUGUGUUCGAUGUGUCCCAUUUGCUGUUAACUUCACAUUUUGUUUUAUUUGAACCUUCGUCAACGCAUUUCUGUCCUGUGUGUGUUUCUUGUCAUAUAUACCUUAUUUUUUCCACCAAGUCAGGUUGUAUUAUAUAUGAACUUCAUUGUGUUGUUUGUCUGAACUGUCCAUGUUUACUUAUAUCAUCUUUAACUUCUUUUGAUUGCAGCUGUUGAUAGCAUCACACAAUCAUUAAAUGAGUUGAAUGCUGAGUUUCCUUCGGUGGGAACACCAGACAAACAUGCUGAUUCUACUAAUUCACCUAAUGGUAGGAGCACACACCCUAUCAACGAUGGGACUCCUGUGUUUGAUGCAACCCCAACGACAUCUGCCAAUGUUGCCCGAGAUAACAGUCGGGAAUCUUGUGGAGGGACACCAGGGCCUAUUUUUGACGAAACCGUGAUGCGACACAAGAAGGAUGACACAAACGCAGGCAUUGCGGAUGAGCCCAGCCCCCCUGAUUGCACUCCUGUUUGGCAGGACACACCGUCCCAAUCUGUAGAUGGCACUGAGGAGGUCACACAGGCGUGGAAUGCUGGUGAACAACUUGAAAGGUAUCAGAAGGAACAUGCUGCAAGGGUUGCCAAGUAUGCCGAGGCAGUAAGGCAGUACUACAGGAAAUUUCCCAAAAUGAAGAGGGAUGCAUCUAAUGCUCCAGCUGAUCACACCGAAAAUGUCCCUGCAUCAACUGCUUCAGAUGAUGAUUUUGAAGCCCCAUCUCCACCCACAGUGAGAAACAAGGUCAGGUUUGAUGUUGCUAAACGGAAGGUCUCACGCGUAUCGUCGCAGGAGUCUCCUGGUGCCGUCAAUGUACGAUGCAUCCCUCGCAUUGGGACCUCCCCUUCGUCGCAGGAGUCUCCUGGUGCCGUCAAUGUACGACGCAGCCCUCGCAUUGCGACCUCCCUGGUGCUGUCGCUGCGCACCCAGCUCAAUAUGGUGAAAAAGUCUCUGGGAGCAAGCGUCGCCGAACGGUCGACAAAUCUUAUGUUUCAGAUGGCGAGGAUGACGUCGCUGAUGUGGGUGGUGAAGUUGAUGCUGCCAAGGUUUCCCUUCAACCUUAGUUUAUUCUUUUAACCCAUAUUUUCCUAUGUUUUGUGAACUUCAUUUUAUAUGAAUGUGAACUUCCUCAACAUCACUGUCAUAAUUAUUUUCUUUUGUCGGUUUUUCUGUGACCUGCACAGUUAAUGCCUCUUUUUGUGAACUCCAUCAACUAUAUGUGUUACAAUUAAUUUUUAUCAGGUCUAUUGUGAACUUCAUAAUUUUUGUGUUCAUUGCUGAACUUUCAUAUUAUAUGAAUCUGAACUUCCUCAACAUUUUUGUUGUUAUUAUCAUCCAAGAAGGAGAUGAGAGGCGGCGCAGGUUGCAGCAGCAAAGUGGCUGGUAAAGUUGGGAAAAAAAGGAAAGGUGGGAUCAUUAGGAAAGCUAUAAUCGGCAACAAUGAUGAUUGUUCGGAUGUUAGUCCUAAGGGUUUAGGGUUAGGGUGCAAAUACCUAAAAUUACUUUGCUAAAACUCUAUUUUGCAUUUGCUAAAUUAAACUUCCAGUUUAAUUAAACUAAUCCCAUUCUUUUCUUAGUUUUAUUUUAAAAAAUAAUUAAUAAACCUCUGUUUUUGUUUGUUGGCCCAAGUGGCCCAAACCAACCCACUAAGCCAAUCCUAAUCCUAUCCUAUAAAACAUAACACCCUAACCCUCUCCCCCCCCCCCCUCUCUCUCUCUCUCUCUCUCUCUCUGCCGCCGCCGCCGCCCUUCUUCUCCCCUUUGGAUUUCUUCUUCCUUUAAUCACACACGCGCGCGUGCGCGCACGCGCACACGCACACAUACACACACCUCCGCAAUCUACCAAAAUCAUCGAAUAACACCGGAAAACAAAGGAACAAGGAGAAAAUAAAUACCAGCAAAUAUGCAUGAUGAAAGAUGUAUGAGAUGCAACAUAUACGAUGAUAAGAUGGAAUGCAAUAUUACUGCAGUUUGUUUCACCAAGUUUUGAUUUGUAGAACAAAAGAUGUACUGCCUGGAAUAGAACAUUAAAUCAAAUAGGGGCUGCUCUGGUACCCUUUGUUAAAACUAACUUUCUGGUAAUAAUGCAGUGCAUGAAAAUGCUAAUAACAGGUUGUGCACUAACUCUGAACAUUUGCACAUAGAUUUUAUAAUAUUUGGAGCCAGGAUACAAACAGGUUGUGCACUAACUCUGAAAAUUCACAAGUUUAAGCAAAUUAACUUGAGUUUCUUUCAAAAUUCCUGAUUUAUUUCGAAAAUAGCAACAGGGCAUAUAUAUUUUUGUAAAGAGAGAGAGAUAGAGAACCUGAGUACAACAUGUGUGCCCAAUAUGUAGGGAUCUUUACAUUUUUCUGAAGACCAAUUAGAAAGUUGCAUGCACACACAUUAAUUUAAAAUCAGUUUUACUGUCAAGCAUUGAUAGAUCUGGGCAUGAUUUUUUGUUUGUUUAACAGAAAACAAAACUAUUAUACAAGAGUACAUGCAAUCAGAUUUAUUCAUAGAAGAAACAUUCAAAAGGAUAAAGAAAAGAGAGCAGGAAAAGAAAUACACACUGAAACAUGCACAUACACUACAGAUCUAAGCUAGGAAGGAGCAGAACUACACAUGCAUGUGUGUGUACAUGCAUACAGCAAUGUUGACAACUUUCCCCAUCAUCAGCUCGAUGCAUGCAUGCAUGCUUACUAUCAGCUUGCAGAGAGAAAAUGGUGGGGGCUGGAGAUGAACAUUCAGAGGUACUGUUCAGAACCAAAGCAGGGAGAGAUUUGAUUGUUUCAGUGUCUCACCUAGCUUAUAAGGAAGAAAGCCAGCAGAGUUGCAGGUCAGGAAACAGGUCGGGAGAGAAAUUGCAGCUUGUGGUUCCUAAACUUGGAGAAAUGGAGCUCGAUCUACUCAGGUACUGCUCAGAACUCUGCUGCCGAUCCGUACGGCAAGCGACGACGCAGCGGCCGCGCUGUCUGAAAGCUUCGUCUCCCAGAGGACCUAGUCGACGGCCAGUAGGGAAAAACAUCCAUGGGAACAGGUUCAAGGAGAGAGAUCGAAAGAAAACUUGAAAUCAAUUCCUUACCAAGAGAAAGAAGUUAGGCUUUCUCUGCCCCUUUGCUUCCAGGACGAGGAGGGCACAGAGGUGGCUCUUCUGCUGCCUUGGUUUGAAGAGCAGUGGCGGCCAGACUGGGGGAGUUAUUGGGGUAGGAUGCUGGUCGGAGAUUUCUCUCAUUGGGCAGCUUGGGUGGUGGAAAGGAAGGGAGAAAAAAAAAAGAGAAAUAGAAAGAUGGCUGGUCGUGCUAUGCAGCUAACUGGAUCAUGAGGGGAAAAGAACA
This 13176-nucleotide long non-coding RNA is filed under the name Brachypodium distachyon (stiff brome). RNAcentral's name for it is "long non-coding RNA (BDIS_LNC005379)". The record is from RNAcentral. Lineage: Eukaryota; Viridiplantae; Streptophyta; Magnoliopsida; Poales; Poaceae.